This is a long non-coding RNA of Chelonia mydas (Green sea turtle), 154 nucleotides long. RefSeq lists it as uncharacterized. NCBI's taxonomy places the organism in Eukaryota, Metazoa, Chordata, Testudines, Cheloniidae. The record is from RefSeq and is a predicted model, not a curated record. The transcript has 5 exons.
GAAGUGCAGAGCAAGGCUUAUGAAUCAGAAUGCCAGGAGCUGCGUGAGACGCUUGCAUCUAAGGAGAAGAAGAACAAGGAACUGGAAUCAGAAUGCCAGGAGCUGCGUGAGACGCUUGCAUCUAAGGAGAAGAAGAACAAGGAACUGGAAUCAG